AAAUAUGAACACGUGAAUCUUAUGGAUUCUUGUCGUUUUCAAACCAGCUCAUAGCCGCCGGCCUGCCCCACCUCCCUCUGAUCUACAAGACAACACAAGAAGACUUAUGAGGAUAUAUAGAGGGAGGGAGGGAGGAAGAAGAAGGCCGGCCGGGGCGACAGAAAUGUCGGAAACUAACCCGACGAGAAGUCCGGAGUUAACGGCGGAGAGAUGCAGCAUACGAAGUAUAGAAUCGAAGUGCGGUUUCGGCUGUAACACAUGCGAGAAGGCAUCCGCUAUAACAGAACAGAACAGAACAUGACAGAAAUGUUUCGUUGUUUUUGUCAGAUUUGAUAAUUUGCAGCAACGUAACUUCAUUGUCGCUGUCUGAUCUGGUUUUAGCAGGUGCCUUCUUGUAUAUGUUGCAACUGAUGAAACCGGCGCUUUGGUUUUCAUGCUUUGUGCCGAUCUCUGCGCCACUAAUUCCGGCAUUCUCGUCGGAACCUACGUCGUACGUGAUGAUUCUCUCGAUCUCAGCUCGCAGAUCUCUCAGCUCGUAUCCUCGUCUUGUAUCGAUCCGGCAGAGCAAUUAAUCUACGAGGCUGCAACAGAUCUGAAGUCAACGUGCGGCUACUGUCGGCGUCGUCGGACGUGCAGCCGUCCAGGUAGGCCGGCGUUUCCGCAACGCGAAUCUCAGUACUGCCAGUUUUAUGAUUGCUACAUUUUACAACAAAUCUUGUCCGGUCCGAUGCGGCUAUACGCCAUGUUAGGGGAGAAACAGUUUGUUUUGACCAAAGCUAAGUAUCGCACGGAUUUUCUAAUUUUAGUAUUCUGUUGAAUAUUUUACCUAUUUAUUAUGCCCAUAAUGGUUCCUGUGUAUUGUUCAGGUGUUAGCGCUGGUAUUGUUGGAUUUGGUAGUGGAUGAAUAAUUAAUGUCUUUUUUAUCUGUUAUAUAUCGAUUAAGUUUUAGAUGUGUAACUAUAUUGAUCAAUUGUCAUUUUUGUAUGUCAUUCAUUGAGUUUUAGGUGUGUAACUAUAUUGUGUAAAAUUGUCCUCUUUGAUUGUUAUUGAUCAAGUUUUAGAUGUGCAACUAUAUUGUUCAAGGUCUAGCUUUAGUAUUGUUGGAUAGGGCCAUGGAUGACUAAUCAACGGUCCUCUUAAUCUUUCAUCGAUCAAUUUUUAAGUGUGCAACUAUAUUGUUCAAAGUCUAGCUUUAGUAUUGUUGGAUAUGGUCAUGAAUGACUAAUCAACGAUUCUCUUUAUCUAUCAUCAAUCAAAUUAGGUAUG
Molecule: long non-coding RNA, 1266 nt
Organism: Ipomoea nil (Japanese morning glory)
Lineage: Eukaryota; Viridiplantae; Streptophyta; Magnoliopsida; Solanales; Convolvulaceae
Exons: 2
Source: RefSeq, a predicted model, not a curated record